UACGUAGGGGGCAAGCGUUGUCCGGAUUUAUUGGGCGUAAAGAGCGUGUAGGCGGCCAUACAGGUCCGUUGUGAAAACUGGAGGCUUAACCUCCAGACGUCGAUGGAAACCGUAUGGCUAGAGUCCGGAAGAGGAGAGUGGAAUUCCUGGUGUAGCGGUGAAAUGCGCAGAUAUCAGGAAGAACACCCGUGGCGAAAGCGGCUUCCUGGCCCGACAUUGACGCUCAUGUACGAAAGCGUGGGGAGCAAACAGG
This 253-nucleotide ribosomal RNA is filed under the name uncultured bacterium. Its description in RNAcentral is "partial 16S ribosomal RNA". It matches the Rfam family "Bacterial small subunit ribosomal RNA", at positions 524 to 776 of the family's 1533-position model. The record is from RNAcentral.